This is a non-coding RNA of Pelobates cultripes (western spadefoot toad), 322 nucleotides long. NCBI's taxonomy places the organism in Eukaryota, Metazoa, Chordata, Amphibia, Anura, Pelobatidae. The record is from the annotation of a GenBank genome assembly.
GAAAGAGUGCUGUGAGAGAGAGUGCUGUGAGUGCUGUGUGAGAGUGCUGUGUGUGAUGUGUGAGAGUGCUGUGUGUGAUGGGUGUGAGAGUGCUGUGCGUGAAAGUGCUGUGUGUGAUGGGUGUGAGAGUGCUGUAUAAAUGUUAUUGUGUGUGUGUUUAGGGGGGGUAAAUAAACCAAAACAAAAAACAGGCAUUAUGUGUCCCCCCCCUCCCUUCUUACCUUUAGCCUGGGAGGGGGGGGCACGCUGGGACUGGCAGGCGGGGUGGCGGGGUUCCCUGGUGGUCCUCGUGGGUGAGUGGCAACGCGCCGGAUCUCGCGAG